Molecule: ribosomal RNA, 426 nt
Filed under: uncultured eukaryote
Lineage: Eukaryota
Description: SSU rRNA
Rfam family: Eukaryotic small subunit ribosomal RNA
Source: RNAcentral
CAAUAGCGUAUAUUAAAGUUGUUGCGGUUAAAAAGCUCGUAGUUGGAUCUCGGCGGGCAGGGGGUGGUUCGCUCUUCAGCGCUACUGCCCCGCUUUGCCCGUGUGAUUGGCGGAGGUUUCGGGGUGCUCUUCGUUGAGUGACUCGGAGCGCCGUCAGGUUUACUUUGAAAAAUUAGAGUGCUCAAAGCAGGCUUUUCACGCUUGAAUAUUCGUGCAUGGAAUAAUGGAAUAGGAACUCGUUUCUAUUUUGUUGGUUUUCGGAAAUCGAGUUAAUGAUUAACAGGGACAAUUGGGGGCAUUAGUAUUCAGACGACAGAGGUGAAAUUCUUGGACCGUCUGAAGACUGACUACUGCGAAAGCAUUUGCCAAGAGUGUUUUCAUUAAUCAAGAACGAAAGUUAGAGGUUCGAAGACGAUUAGAUACCAU